RNAcentral lists this ribosomal RNA (465 nucleotides) under Vreelandella stevensii. RNAcentral's name for it is "partial 16S ribosomal RNA". It matches the Rfam family "Bacterial small subunit ribosomal RNA", at positions 338 to 795 of the family's 1533-position model. The record is from RNAcentral. Lineage: Bacteria; Pseudomonadati; Pseudomonadota; Gammaproteobacteria; Oceanospirillales; Halomonadaceae.
CCUACGGGGGGCUGCAGUGGGGAAUAUUGGACAAUGGGGGGAACCCUGAUCCAGCCAUGCCGCGUGUGUGAAGAAGGCCCUCGGGUUGUAAAGCACUUUCAGUGAGGAAGAACGCCUGGUGGUUAAUACCCAUCAGGAAAGACAUCACCCACAGAAGAAGCACCGGCUAACUCCGUGCCAGCAGCCGCGGUAAUACGGAGGGUGCGAGCGUUAAUCGGAAUUACUGGGCGUAAAGCGCGCGUAGGUGGCUUGAUAAGCCGGUUGUGAAAGCCCCGGGCUCAACCUGGGAACGGCAUCCGGAACUGGCAAGCUAGAGUGUAGGAGAGGAAAGUAGAAUUCCCGGUGUAGCGGUGAAAUGCGUAGAGAUCGGGAGGAAUACCAGUGGCGAAGGCGGCCUUCUGGACUGACACUGACACUGAGGUGCGAAAGCGUGGGUAGCAAACAGGAUUAGAUACCCUGGUAGUC